Molecule: ribosomal RNA, 500 nt
Filed under: uncultured Glomeromycotina
Lineage: Eukaryota; Fungi; Glomeromycota
Description: partial small subunit ribosomal RNA
Rfam family: Eukaryotic small subunit ribosomal RNA
Source: RNAcentral
CCAAUAGCGUAUACUAAAGUUGUUGCAGUUAAAAAGCUCGUAGUUGAAUUUCGGGGUUAGUAGGUUGGUCAUGCCUCUGGUAUGUACUGGUCUCACUGAUUCCUCCUUCCUGAUGAGCCGUAAUGCCAUUAAUUUGGUGUUGCGGGGAAUUUGGACUGUUACUUUGAAAAAAUUAGAGUGUUUAAAGCAAGCUAACGCUUGAAUACAUUAGCAUGGAAUAAUGAAAUAGGACGUUCGAUCCUAUUUUGUUGGUUUCUAGGGUUGACGUAAUGAUUAAUAGGGAUAGUUGGGGGCAUUAGUAUUCAAUUGUCAGAGGUGAAAUUCUUGGAUUUAUUGAAGACUAACUACUGCGAAAGCAUUUGCCAAGGAUGUUUUCAUUAAUCAAGAACGAAAGUUAGGGGAUCGAAGACGAUCAGAUACCGUCGUAGUCUUAACCAUAAACUAUGCCGACUAGGGAUCGGAUGAUGUUAAUUUUUUAAUGACUCAUUCGGCGCCUUACG